This 850-nucleotide small RNA is filed under the name Nothophoma macrospora. RNAcentral describes it as "eukaryotic LSU rRNA". It matches the Rfam family "Eukaryotic large subunit ribosomal RNA", at positions 50 to 918 of the family's 3401-position model. Lineage: Eukaryota; Fungi; Ascomycota; Dothideomycetes; Pleosporales; Didymellaceae. The record is from RNAcentral.
GCGGAGGAAAAGAAACCAACAGGGAUUGCCCUAGUAACGGCGAGUGAAGCGGCAACAGCUCAAAUUUGAAAUCUGGCGUCUUCGGCGUCCGAGUUGUAAUUUGCAGAGGGCGCUUUGGCAUUGGCAGCGGUCCAAGUUCCUUGGAACAGGACGUCACAGAGGGUGAGAAUCCCGUACGUGGUCGCUAGCCUUUACCGUGUAAAGCCCCUUCGACGAGUCGAGUUGUUUGGGAAUGCAGCUCUAAAUGGGAGGUAAAUUUCUUCUAAAGCUAAAUACUGGCCAGAGACCGAUAGCGCACAAGUAGAGUGAUCGAAAGAUGAAAAGCACUUUGGAAAGAGAGUUAAAAAGCACGUGAAAUUGUUGAAAGGGAAGCGCUUGCAGCCAGACUUGCCUGUAGUUGCUCAUCCGGGUUUCUACCCGGUGCACUCUUCUAUAGGCAGGCCAGCAUCAGUUUGGGCGGUUGGAUAAAGGUCUCUGUCAUGUACCUCUCUUCGGGGAGAACUUAUAGGGGAGACGACAUGCAACCAGCCUGGACUGAGGUCCGCGCAUCUGCUAGGAUGCUGGCGUAAUGGCUGUAAGCGGCCCGUCUUGAAACACGGACCAAGGAGUCUAACAUCUAUGCGAGUGUUUGGGUGUCAAGCCCGAGCGCGUAAUGAAAGUGAACGGAGGUGGGAACCUUUCGGGGUGCACCAUCGACCGAUCCUGAUGUCUUCGGAUGGAUUUGAGUAAGAGCAUAGCUGUUGGGACCCGAAAGAUGGUGAACUAUGCUUGAAUAGGGUGAAGCCAGAGGAAACUCUGGUGGAGGCUCGCAGCGGUUCUGACGUGCAAAUCGAUCGUCAAAUUUGGGCAU